GUACUCUCUGGCAGCACAUAUACUAAAAUUCUAACAAUACAGUGAAGAUUAGCAUAGUCUCUGCACAAGGAUAACAUGUAAAUGCACGAAGCAGUCCACAUUUAG
Small nuclear RNA from Fukomys damarensis (Damara mole-rat), 105 nucleotides. Lineage: Eukaryota; Metazoa; Chordata; Mammalia; Rodentia; Bathyergidae. The record is from Ensembl.